This 1135-nucleotide long non-coding RNA is filed under the name Gossypium barbadense (sea-island cotton). Its description in RNAcentral is "long non-coding RNA (GBAR_LNC004540)". The record is from RNAcentral. Lineage: Eukaryota; Viridiplantae; Streptophyta; Magnoliopsida; Malvales; Malvaceae.
GUUGCUAUGUAAAUUAUUGUGUAAAUGUGAUCUUAUUUGUUAUGGUAAUACGAUGUGAGGUGAACACUUAAACAUGUGAAUAAUAUGCUAAUGAGUUUAUUUAUGUUUCAUGAAAAUGUUAGUAUGUUCUCAUAGUAAAUUGCGUAUGUAAUUGUGGUCUGGGUCGUUUCCAUUUAACUUGUGAAUAUGUAUGUGAAUAUAUCAACUAGACUUGUGAGUUAUUAAAGCAUGUAUAAGUUGUUUAGUCUUGAUGAAUUAUUGUUAAAUGAAUUAUAUAUGAGUUGAGUGUAAUUGCAUGUAGGAGUAUAUGUUACUUUUAUGACUUAAUGAAACGUGAAUAUGUUAUUUUGACUUGAUUUGAAUAUGGUUGUGAAUUUGUUGUAGUAUGCUAUUGUUUAACCUUUGAUAUUGUGUGUGCAUUGUGGUUAUUCUAAGCAUUCACUGAGCUAGUUAAGCUCACCCACUCCUUUUAAAACAUUGCAGAUUAGUUGUAUGCCGGUGUGAGCAGUGUGAUUUCCGAGGGGUGAUCCAAGCAAGAUGUUAGCUUUAUUUCGUAGGUGUUAUUAAUUCGUUUAUGUUUUGGGGAAAUAAAGACAAUGUGGUAGAAUUGUUGCAUAAAUUUUGCAUGAUAUUUUGGAUAUUUCCAUAGUUUAUUUGUUCUAGGGAUUUAAAGUUUGAAUCGUGAUAUGUUGAUUAUUGCUCAAACUUAUUCUUGAUGUUUGAAACUGUGAUUAUGACCGUUUUGAUGUUUAUUUGAUACGAUAAAAGAUGCAUGUUGAAUAGAUUUAUGUUGGAAUGGUUUAUAUGCUUAAAUAUGCUAAAUUUUUAUUGUAUUAAGCAGAGGUAUCAAUAUUUGUGUUUUAAAAACGACACCUCUUUGAUUUUCAAAUGUGCAGGAAGUCAGAAUCGUAAUUUGGUAUCGCUACCAUACCAUGAGUACUCAGGGCAGAAUUACCGAUACUUUUUGAAAUGUAACGAUAUUUUCCUGUGUUUCGAUUUUAGGUGAGAAGCAAAAUAUUGACUUGGUACCGAUUUUUCAAGCAGUACCGAUACCAUGUAAGAAAAUUAUUGAUACCUCAAUUUCAGUUUCGAUAUCUACGUGAUUGUUUUGGAAAUUUUGCUAAGUGGUUCUAAU